This 427-nucleotide ribosomal RNA is filed under the name uncultured bacterium. RNAcentral's name for it is "partial 16S ribosomal RNA". It matches the Rfam family "Bacterial small subunit ribosomal RNA", at positions 355 to 774 of the family's 1533-position model. The record is from RNAcentral.
UGGGGAAUAUUGGACAAUGGGCGAAAGCCUGAUCCAGCCAUGCCGCGUGUGUGAAGAAGGUCUUCGGAUUGUAAAGCACUUUAAGUUGGGAGGAAGGGCAGUAAGCUAAUACCUUGCUGUUUUGACGUUACCGACAGAAUAAGCACCGGCUAACUCUGUGCCAGCAGCCGCGGUAGUACAGAGGGUGCAAGCGUUAAUCGGAAUUACUGGGCGUAAAGCGCGCGUAGGUGGUUUGUUAAGUUGGAUGUGAAAGCCCCGGGCUCAACCUGGGAACUGCAUCCAAAACUGGCAGGCUAGAGUACGGUAGAGGGUGGUGGAAUUUCCUGUGUAGCGGUGAAAUGCGUAGAUAUAGGAAGGAACACCAGUGGCGAAGGCGACCACCUGGACUGAUACUGACACUGAGGUGCGAAAGCGUGGGGAGCAAACA